CUGAAAAUAGGUGAACAGCUUUCACAGAAGAGGACAAAAUCAAGUGUCUUUAAAUAAAUGCACCUAUGGAGAUAGCUGUGGUGUGAAACUAUUUUGUUUUCUCUUUUUGCUGCCAUCUGAACUUUUAAUUCCCAGGCUUUUAAAAUGCUUUUUGCCUUAAGUAUUUUUUUUCCCUUCUGCAGGAAGUGACUGUUAGCAAACUUAACUCCAGCUUCAUGGUACUUCUUUAUUGUCUAAGAUUUUCCUACAAGCCUUGUCUACCAGCCUUUCUUCUGCAGCAGUGACAUAAUUUGGUAUAGAGGGGGAAGAGCUGUGUUUUAUUCCUUUGCAAUCUUUCAUGAACUACUGCUCUUCAGGAACAGAGAUCGCUUGUGCAAGAGGGAGAGCAAUUGCUUAUUGGUGUAAUUGUAGCAGUUGAAGACAGCAUAAAGGGCAGGUAACUGACAGCAUCUGUCUGAAAGAUAUUCAGAGUCUCUCCUGCUUCAUUGGGAGUGUUUGUACAAGUUGUCAGAUACUUGUCCUAAGUGGUGUUUGUUUCACUUCCAUAAAGAAGACAACAGCUCUGGACUCUGAUAAAACAAAGCUUGGCAGAGUCCCAGGCACGGUAUCUUGUUCUGGCACUACACUCAGCUUGAUCUUCUCAUUUACCUCACAGGUAUUCAGCAGGACUGCUUCAUCACAUUGUGUUAUGAGUGUUCAACAAGCGUGCUCGAGGAAAGCCUAUGUCACUUGUAGAUGUAUCCUGACACCAAGUGAAUCACGCUGCUUCACACUGCACUGAAUCAUUGGUUGGCUUUCUGCUGUAAAAAAUCACUGGCCUUGAGACUGUCAGAGCACUGCCUGGCAAAGUGCUAAGCAUUUUGAUUUUGAUCCAACAGAGCACUCAGG
This 888-nucleotide long non-coding RNA is filed under the name Coturnix japonica (Japanese quail). Its description in RNAcentral is "lncRNA (ENSCJPG00005001179.1)". Lineage: Eukaryota; Metazoa; Chordata; Aves; Galliformes; Phasianidae. The record is from RNAcentral.